Molecule: ribosomal RNA, 518 nt
Filed under: uncultured Bacteroidales bacterium
Lineage: Bacteria; Pseudomonadati; Bacteroidota; Bacteroidia; Bacteroidales
Description: bacterial SSU rRNA
Rfam family: Bacterial small subunit ribosomal RNA
Source: RNAcentral
GAGUACGACCGCAAGGUUGAAACUCAAAGGAAUUGACGGGGGCCCGCACAAGCGGAGGAACAUGUGGUUUAAUUCGAUGAUACGCGAGGAACCUUACCUAGACUUGAACGUAUUUGGACAGAUCCAGAGACGGAUUCUUCUUUCGGGACCAUUUACGAGGUGCUGCAUGGUCGUUGUCAGCUCGUGCCUUGAGGUGUCGGGUUAAGUCCCAUAACGAGCGCAACCCUUGCCAAUAGUUGCCAGCGAGUAAUGUCGGGGACUCUAUUGGGACUGCCGGUGUAAACCGUGAGGAAGGUGGGGAUGACGUCAAAUCAUCACGGCCCUUAUGUCUAGGGCGACACACGUGUUACAAUGGCCAGUACAGAGGGUCGCUACUAAGUGAUUAGAUGCUAAUCUCAAAAACUGGUCUCAGUUCGGAUUGGAGGUUGAAACUCGCCUCCAUGAAGCUGGAUUCGCUAGUAAUCGCAUAUCAGCCAUGAUGCGGUGAAUACGUUCCCGGGCCUUGUACACACCGCCCG